Molecule: long non-coding RNA, 5232 nt
Organism: Gallus gallus (chicken)
Lineage: Eukaryota; Metazoa; Chordata; Aves; Galliformes; Phasianidae
Source: Ensembl
CAGCAAUGGAAGCCUAUGGGGCUGCCCUGCAGCAGGAAGGCUGCUGGCAGAGUGGCAAGCAGACCUCUGGAUGAUGCCUUUCUGCUUUCCUUUUUAUUUAUUUUUAUUAUUAUUUAUUUUUUCAGAGCGCAUUUAUCCAUAGGCUCUAAUUAGUUCCUCAGGGUGGGGAAGUGGUACAUUUAGCAUGGACAGUGAACACAGCCUCAGUGAGCAGGAGACAUCAGGAAAGCAAUGUGGAAAAUAAGACUCUGAAAGGACACUUCUUUAUACAUAAUCAACAGUGAGGCACUGUUGUUCAUAUCCUCUCACAGAACUGAAAGUGGCUGUUUUCUUUCUCCCCAGAUUUGGAAGAUUUUCUUCCUUUUCCUGCAACAAGUUUGAGUGAACUUCCUAUUUAUUCUUCACUUCUUCAUGGCUAUUUUACCCCACCAGAGCAAGGCAGUCCUUAUGCAAGAAGUGAGCACUGUAUCAACUCACUGGAGAACUGAAUAUCACUCUCUCUAGAAUAUUAUGUUCUGCAACUAUUGAGAGAAUUUUGCUUUCCUAUCUAGGAAGAUUAGAAAUGUGCUGUUCUGACCUUUAGCUUGGCAACUCACUUACUUCUAUAACCUCUAAGGUUUUCCUUAUUGUGAAGAACUUCGAGGAGAAACGGCUUGGUUGGAAGUAGAGAAAUCCUACUCCAAUCUAUGAAAGACAAGAGAUAUCUACUCAGCAAAUUUUCUUUUAGCCAGCAGUCUUUUAGAGGACAGUGCAUUUGAGAGGGUUUACAGCCAAAUAAUCCAAAUCCAAGCUACCACGAACCCAUCAGAAGGCUCUCCUAUUAAAACCUAAAGCUUUCAGCCUGCUAAUAGAAUUUGAAGCAUUUUAUUUUUGGCAGAUCUCAGACUGAAAUCUCCAAGAGCAAGCUGUUCAUUAUAAGAUCACUUUGUUAUCCGCAAGGCCAACUCAGAAAACAGUGCACGCUGCAGACCUGUAGAAAGAUAGACCUUUAUGUUGGCAGGAAACUUCAGAGAAGUGUGCUGGUGAGAACUUAUAUCAGUGGGUUUUGGAAGUCGCUUUAUUAUCUAACAGAUGUGUAGGCUGCAACAGCAGAAAUUUUUGCUCCUGUGAGAAAACAGAAUAUUCAGUUGUCAGGUGUAAAUUCAUGGACAUAUUUUUGUGUUUACUGUCCGCUUCUUCAAAUAACUCUACACAAGGACAAAGUGCCAAUAAGUUGCUUUACGAAGAGAACCAGUCUUGCUUCAAAACCUUUUAAUUUAGGCAUGGGCCAAGAGUGAUGGGCUUAUGGUGCUGGAUGGCUACAGUAAACGUCCAGGUGAAUUUGCUGAGUACUACAGAACAUCGCUUCUUCAGCCUCAGAACAUGUCUAAAGAGUGCAGGCAGCAGAAAUCCUUGUGUUCAGAGCCCAGUCAAAUUCCCAUUAGAGUUGGCAAAAAAAAAAAAAAAAAUUAUUAAGGUUUGGAACCAAACAAAGCACAUCCUUAGCAACUGAAACAUGAAUCACAAAUGGCACAGAUGUUUGGUAAGUAAUUUGGUGGUGUGUAUUCUCUUUGAAAUGAUCAACUUGGUCUAGCAGAAGAAGAAUAAAAUGCAGUCAGUCAGAAUUGGGUUCUGGACACCACCCGACAACAGGCAACACACUGAUCUGGGGUAAGUUUUUUUUCCCAUAAUUACAGUGAUUAAACUUUUCUAAGAAACUAAAGGUGUAUUCUGACCUAUUUUAUUUCUUACUUGAUAAAAAUAAAAUAAAAUGAGGAUGAAGGUGAAGUAAUAUCACUUGGCACUUUUGGAAUCUUUCGAUGCAAAACAUUCUUUGCUAUAAAUGCAGAUUAAAUUUUAUGAAAUUCGGUCCUUCCAGAGACACAGCUGGAUUUCAUUCAACUUCUGCUUGAUUUUAGAUGGAGUCAAUGAGAUUGAAACUGCAGUCACUUUACCACAUCUGACCUUCUGGAUGACAACUGCCUGGUGAUUAUGAUAGCUACAUUAUAUCCCAACAUUAUAUUGCACUUGCUGGUGGGAAGACUUCAGGAAAGAAACAGUUUUUGUCUUCAGAAGAGAUAGAGACUGAAAGAUUUGUGAAAUAGUUUUGAAUUUGUCCAUCAGAUUUUGCUGAAGUCCCAGUUGUACGUGUGGGUCAAUUGCAAUUCAUUUUCCCUGUGAGCAUAGGGGAUGCACACUGCAGAAAAUUGAACACUGUUGAAGUACAUACCAACACUCUAUCUUGUUCUACUAAACACAGCAUUUGUGUUGGGCACACCCUUCCUAUUCGAGAGCUUGUUAUUGCUAUUGUUAAUUUGGAAAUGUUUCACUAAAAACAGUUGAAGACUUUUCUCAUGAUCUUAAGUUUGGGACUAAGAGAAGAUGAAGGUCUUCCUCAACCAUCUGCUUUCUAUUUCUGUCUGUUCAAAGAUGAUUGAAUUUGUUCUACUUCUUUGUAUUUAUGGCACAUUUUUUUUUCCAUGCCACAUCUCCACAUGAUCAGCCAAAUCCUCAACUAAUUUUGGUUGGCUUCUUUGACUUCAGUGGAUAUACUGCUAAUUCAAACCCUCUGCCUGGCUCAUUCUUGAAAUUAAUUUAAUCAAUAAUCUGUACCAAUUACUUUAGGUACUUCUUGUUUACCUCUAGGUGUAAUUUAUUUAAAUUAAGUGUUUCUCUCCAUUUAUACUUUCACUAUGAUACGCUGAUGUUUCAUAGAAUGAUAAUCUAUUUUUGAUAUUCACAUUUAUUUUCUUCUACUCCUUUCAACUUUCUAGAGCUAUCUAUUUCCCUAGUGCCCACCUUGACUUCCUACAAUUUAAGCAUUUUACUGAGUUUCUCUCUGCAUUCAUUUAUUUCAACUCGCUAUAUUUCCAGGGAGCUUUUCUCCUUUGAUAGUAUUGCAUCUGUACUAAUACGGUUCGUUUACAAAGUAGACAUUGUUUCCAGUUUUAUCUUUACAGCUAGCUGUAGCAUUCUCACAAAUUGAAGAGACUCCAUUUGUAAUGUGAAUUCAUGUUUACAAUGUUGUAUGCUAAGUAAUGAUCUAGUCAGUAGUGGGCAGUCAUUUUUGUCAUGAAAGUUAACUGUAUAUAUAGGAAGAUAUGCUACCGUGUAGACUUCAAACAUAUUCCAUAACUUACAGCCAUUCUAAUUUCUCCCAAGUCUGCCCAUUCAUUUGUGGAAAUGUCUGGGUGCAUUUUGAUUCCUUUUAGACAGCUCCAUUUCAGUAUCAGAACGUUCAAGCACCUUUUAUGGAAACCCAGUCUAUAUUUUAGCCUUCAAGGCUACUGGGUGGAUCCUGUUAACUGGGAGAGCGUAAGACAUUCACACCAAAAAAAAAAAAAAAAAAAAAGAACACAAAAGGAAACCCAUAAAUAGUACCAGUAUACUUGGAAAAAUUCCCUACCUAUAAUUACAAAAACAUUUAGGCAACCCAUUCUGUCUUCAGAAAGGUAACAAUUAUUUAUACAUAUCAGUCUCUGUGUAAAUGCCACCUGUCCAAUCAAUAUAUUAAUAUUUGAAUUAUUUCAAAAGGAGAUGGUAGGAAAAAAAGCCGUCUUUUCUUCAGUAAUGAACUAAUUUAUCUGAAAAUCUGAGAACUGCAAGUGGGUGGUACUCUUUUCUGUGUAGUCUUACAAAAGACAUUACUGCAAUCAAGCUAGUACUUACUAUUUUAAUAGUAAAACACGCCAGGCAUCAAAACUUGACAUGGAAUGUAAUGAGAAGUGAUAUGAUUGAGCAGAGAUGUAACAGAUAUGUUAGUUAUGUUAUGUUAGCAUGAUUUUUGCUCUGGGUCUUGAAAUCUUUACAUAUACACAUGCACAAACAUUCUUAACAAGAUAGAAAAUUUCUUGUGGAAAGUGUAUCAUAAUGAAAGCCUUGGGAGAGAAAACAGAAGAAUAUGUGAAGGGAGAAUGCUCUGAUUUUAAAUAGGCAAGUAGAAGAGGUUGUUAUGACAGGAGUAUAUUGCUUAGUUCAACAGUAUCUAGUUCCACUUAUCUGGUCUUCCUGGUAAUGUGCUGAAAGCAGAAAGGAAGAGCAGUAGUUCAGCAGUGUCUGGUCCUUAAAAAUAAAGAAGGGGUAGGGAGAAAGCAUAUAAGUGCUGAAGAAAAGAAAAGUGAUGUUUAGAGAGGAAGGGGAAGAGAAGAGGGAAGGGGGAAGAGGGCAGGAGGGAAGGAGAAAGGAAGGAAGGGCAAAGGAGAGGAGCUGGGGAGAAAAAGAAAAAAAAAAUAGAAGUUUGAAUUUGAUAUGAUCCUAAGUAGCAACCAGAGAGAUUUGGGAAAACACUGAGCCAUAGCUGGAAUGGCAGGCUGAUGUUUAGGAAGAGUAUAUGAGAAAGGUUGAAGUGGAAAUUGUGGAUAUCAGGAAAUACAGCAAAGCAGCGAUUGUAGCAAAGGUAAUCAAGCCAGAUGUUUGCAACAUAGACACAGAGAAAAUAAUCAGUUUGAGGAAAAUAAACAGUAAUCAUAUCUGGAUUAAAAAGUUGAGGUUAACAUGAAGUUUGGAACACUUUGGAAAGAAAAGUUGGUGGAUUAUGUAUGUAGGGUCAUAAUCCGGUCUGUGCUGCAGUUAGAUCCAGUUCAGCCUAAUUUGCAUUGAAAUUUGCUCCCUGACUCUAGACUGGCUUAUCAUUAUUGUGGCUGCUUGUCUGUGCUGUUCUCUGGUGGUGUUUUUUGCUGCAGGUGCUGUCUCCUGUGGAAGCUUCUCCCUGAUGACCAGUUGUACUCCAAGGUCCAAGUCUGCAUGUUGCAUAAUGUGUUUCUAGUCUUCAGAGAGGUAAUUCUGAUAAAUGUAACUCAAACACCAGCUGAUGCAGGUACCUCCUCUGUGCCUGCAGAGAGCCUAGAGUAACAGCUCCAAGAGGUUUGUACCUUCUCAUUCAUCUCAAUAAGUUCUUAAAUUGUCACUCUUCACCUUCUAACUUAAUCAUCAGCUUUAGAGCUUGCCCCACAUUUUGAACUGUUUCUCUUUUGAUCAUUUCAGCAGGAUCACUCUGAAGUUUUUAUUCCCUAAUUUCAAAGUGUUUCUUGUGCCCUCCAGGUGAGAAAGUCCAGGGCUGUGAUGAUAUCUAUUUUCCCUCUUGACAACUUCCAAGCUGCAGGUGGGAAUUGCCUACACAAGAGCUCAUGGCAUACUGGAAAAAAUACAUAGGGACUCCAAUAAAUUGAUUAGUUUGCCUACCUACUUAAUUGUUCCUGAGGUUAAUGUACUGAAUGAUUAAUUGCCUUCAUAGCUUGUUCAUCACAGAUUUAG